This 502-nucleotide ribosomal RNA is filed under the name uncultured bacterium. RNAcentral describes it as "partial 16S ribosomal RNA". It matches the Rfam family "Bacterial small subunit ribosomal RNA", at positions 28 to 507 of the family's 1533-position model. The record is from RNAcentral.
GACGAACGCUGGCGGCGUGCCUAAUACAUGCAAGUCGAACGAACCGCGACUAGGUGCUUGCACUUGGUCAAGGUGAGUGGCGAACGGGUGAGUAACACGUGGGUAACCUACCUCAUAGUGGGGGAUAACAGUCGGAAACGACUGCUAAUACCGCAUAGGACAUGGGAUCACAUGAUUCUGUGAGGAAAGGUGGCGCAAGCUAUCGCUAAGAGAUGGACCCGCGGUGCAUUAGCUAGUUGGUAGGGUAACGGCCUACCCAGGCGAUGAUGCAUAGCCGACCUGAGAGGGUGAUCGGCCACAUUGGGACUGAGACACGGCCCAAACUCCUACGGGAGGCAGCAGUAGGGAAUCUUCCGCAAUGGACGCAAGUCUGACGGAGCAACGCCGCGUGAGUGAAGAAGGUCUUCGGAUCGUAAAGCUCUGUUGUUAGAGAAGAACAGCGCAUAGAGUAACUGUUAUGCGUGUGACGGUAUCUAACCAGAAAGCCACGGCUAACUACGUG